GUAGCGCCCUCCUUCUUCCUCCUCUUCGCUGAAUACAGCUCACGGUAAGUACUGGUUCACACAGUUCGUUCUCGGGGUGCUCACUCUCUUUCUCUUCCUCCACAGGCAACGGCUGGGACACAAAGGCACAGUUAAUUCGGCUUGGUUUUGCUCUCACCUCUUCGCUGAUUGCAGCUCACAGUAAGUACUGGUUCACACAGUUCGUUCCUUGGGUGCUCACUCGCUUUCUCUUUCUCCACAGGUAUCAACUUGGGCACAAUAGCACAGUUAGUUUGCUUUGAAUGGCUCUCACCUCUGGGCUGGACACAGCGUACUGUAAGUACAGGGUUCGCUCUAUUCCUCCUCGUGUUAUUCACUCUCUCUUUCCUUUCCUCUCCACAGGUAUCAACUUGGACGCAAAGCACAGUUACUCUGCUUUGGAUGGCUUUCACCUCUGGGCUGGACACAGCGUACUGUGCUAUCUCCGGAGAUCUGAAGCACGCUCACAACAU
This is a long non-coding RNA of Cyprinus carpio carpio, 491 nucleotides long. NCBI's taxonomy places the organism in Eukaryota, Metazoa, Chordata, Actinopteri, Cypriniformes, Cyprinidae. The record is from Ensembl.